AGGUGCGAUCAUACUAGCACUAAUGAACCGGAUCCCAUCAGAACUCUGUAGUAAAGCAUGCUUGGGUGAGAGUAGUAUUAAGAUGAGUGACCACCUUGGAAGUCCUGGUGUUGCACCUC
Non-coding RNA from Lupinus angustifolius (narrow-leaved blue lupine), 119 nucleotides. NCBI's taxonomy places the organism in Eukaryota, Viridiplantae, Streptophyta, Magnoliopsida, Fabales, Fabaceae. The record is from Rfam.